Molecule: ribosomal RNA, 253 nt
Filed under: Pantoea agglomerans
Lineage: Bacteria; Pseudomonadati; Pseudomonadota; Gammaproteobacteria; Enterobacterales; Erwiniaceae
Description: partial 16S ribosomal RNA
Rfam family: Bacterial small subunit ribosomal RNA
Source: RNAcentral
ACGGUGGCUAAUACCGCAUAACGUCGCAAGACCAAAGAGGGGGACCUUCGGGCCUCUCACUAUCGGAUGAACCCAGAUGGGAUUAGCUAGUAGGCGGGGUAAUGGCCCACCUAGGCGACGAUCCCUAGCUGGUCUGAGAGGAUGACCAGCCACACUGGAACUGAGACACGGUCCAGACUCCUACGGGAGGCAGCAGUGGGGAAUAUUGCACAAUGGGCGCAAGCCUGAUGCAGCCAUGCCGCGUGUAUGAAGA